UACGUAGGGGUCCGAGCGUUGUCCGGAAUUACUGGGCGUAAAGAGCUCGUAGGUGGUUUGUCGCGUUGUUCGUGAAAACUCACAGCUUAACUGUGGGCGUGCGGGCGAUACGGGCAGACUAGAGUACUGCAGGGGAGACUGGAAUUCCUGGUGUAGCGGUGGAAUGCGCAGAUAUCAGGAGGAACACCGGUGGCGAAGGCGGGUCUCUGGGCCGAUACUGACGCUGAGGAGCGAAAGCGUGGGGAGCGAACAGG
Molecule: ribosomal RNA, 254 nt
Filed under: uncultured bacterium
Lineage: Bacteria
Description: partial 16S ribosomal RNA
Rfam family: Bacterial small subunit ribosomal RNA
Source: RNAcentral